GAGCAAUAGAACAAUGCCCAGAGCAGCCUGGCCUCCUCUGCUUCUUCUACUAAGUGGUUAGUUGCCUACCUGGCAGACAUAAACACCUUCUGACAAAGAAAUGUGAAAAGAGUUGGAAACCUGCUGUUUGGAGACUAUUCUCCUACUAGACAUCCAAGAGAUCUCCAGAGAUCUAUUUCAGCCUCACAUCUAUACCAUUACCCCAAUUUUCUUUCAUUGAGUGAGAAUUGAAUGAACUUUUGGAAAGACGGUCACUUUUCAUUAUUCAAAUGGGAGAGAAGAUCCAGAAUACAGGGCUUUCCUGUUCAAAGCUGAACGAUUAGCUGGGGGCCCCAUGGGGAGAAUCCAGUCCACAACAGUCCAACCUUCUCAAAGGUGUGACCAGAACUGCAACAUAGAAUUGUGAUGCAGCAAUCCUAAAAGUCAACCGUGAGCUAUGAACUCGUGACUGUCUGGUUCCACUCACCAAAAGACCAUGAUUAGAAUCAUUGACAACAGCUCAGCUCAGAUAUAAACAGCAGCCCUCUGAGCACUUCACCCACCUUGCUUCGUUAGGAAAACUCUUUCUAAGGCAUGGACCUUUCAGACUUCACCAUGAAAAGGAGGAAGCCCAGACUGAAAUGAGUUAAAACCUUCGUCUUGGAGAGAGGAUUGUGGCUUGGCCCUGAGUUAAGCACCAUGAAGAAGAACAAUAGGAACUCUACCACAAGGAUCAAUAAGCAAGAUGCCAUCUCCGUCCCACCCUUCCAAGAUGCAGGAGAUCUUCAAAAUAUGUUGGAUGGAGGAGAGUAUGCCCCUUUUGUAUCUCCUCCCAUAUUAGAGAGCAAUUUUAUCCAGGUUAAUAGGAGAGGUGAAUCCAUUUACCUUCACAACCGAGCCAACUGGGUGACUGUAGGCAUCUGCUCUUCCAGUAGCACCCACAAGACCCCCAAUGUGAUGCUUCUGGCACAUCUGACACCUGAAGCCCAGAAAGAUACAGAACCCCUAUUUCAAAGGCUCCUGACAUCUCCUUCUCCAGAGAACCUGGUGCUCACCAGGUUUCUCCCUCUACAGUUUGUGACUCUUUCUGUGCAUGAUGCUGAGAAUAUGCGCCUCAAAGUAAAGCUGGUCAGUGGUCGAGCCUACUACCUGCAGCUCUGUGCCCCUGCAUGUAAACAGGACACCCUAUUUUGUCAAUGGGUGGAACUCAUCUCCCUCUUGAAUCAGGAGAAAGCCAAAGUUUCCAAACUGUCAGAAGUCUCAAGCCUCUCGGAAAUCACCAAUAGCACAGAUAUCACAGGUUCAGUGGACAUCAUGGAUAUUGCAGCAUUUGCAGCCAUACAGACCCCGCACAUGUACACAUGUUCAGACCCUGUAAAUGCCAUAGAAAGCAUUGAUUUCUCAGAAUUCACAGAUGUCACUGAUGUCACAGACGUCACAGAUGUUCCAGAAAAUGAGGUCACAGAGGCCCCAGAUAUAAAAAUUGUCACAGAAGUCACAGAAGUCAUGGAUGUCUGUGAUGUCCCAAACAACUCGGAGGUUACAGUGGUGUUUGAAAACGAUGACAUACUAAGGGCCAAGCAAGAGGAAAAGGAAAAGAUGGAAAACAUUCUGAAGCCUGGGUGUCUACGAGAUACAAAAAUUAAGAAUGAAUGCAAAGAAUCCUCAAAACAUGUCACCAUCUCAAAUGUAACACUGACUUUCGAAGGUGAACGAUGUUUUCAUUCUACUUUGACUCCAGAAGAAAGUGACAUAAAUUCAUUCAAAAGGAUGAGCAUUAUUAGAACAUCUGAAAUAAGGACAACUGAUUUUAGCAACACAGCUCUCAAGGCUGAGGAAUCCAGGAGCAUGAGAACUGAUUCAGGCACUUCAGGCUUGCAUAGUAUUUUGAUUUUCCCUCUGCUUAGCAUUUCUUUCCCCCUUUUUACAGUCCUCUAAAUCACUUCUUUUUGCCCUUUCAUACCCUUACUCACACUUAACACUUUUUACCCCAAGAAGAGCAAGGAUUAGUAGAAUCUUAAUCCCUUGUUCCAUUGAAUUUAGACUAAAUGUAGACUAAAAAUGAGUCUGCGAAUCUGAUUUCUAUUCUAGGCAGUAGCCAGAAUAGUAACUGCUCCCCACUGCAAUAAAACAAAACCCUGGUCCUAUUAACCUGGUCAGAUUCACAUUCACCCAACUCCAGGCAAUGCUACCUGAGGACCAUGGUCUCUUAUUCAUGUCUCAAACCACUCAGCAGUUUGACAAAAGGACACUUUUUCUCCUUUCUGAGUAAGGCUUUGGGUAAAGUGGACUCUGAAUGUACUGUUUUCAUGAAAAGGCUGCAGGAAGAGCCUAGGCUAACACUGUCUCUCAGGAUCUGGGUCCAUCUGUCCCUUUUCUUGACUUUUAAUUUCUUACCUAUCUAGGUUUUACUCACUUUAGCUCUGUUGAUCUCUUUACGGUGAGCCCAAACUUAGGCUUACCUUUGAUCCUAUAGUAUUUUCCCAAGAUGGAAAGCAAUCAGACAAAGGAUAGACAUCCAAGAAAUAGAGAAGGGAAAACUGCUACCAAACACCGGGAAUUUCCUCCCCAUUUAUAUCCAUCUUUCUUUUCCACUUUCCUCUUAACUAUUGCAAAUCAAAUUCUUUGCAAUCUUAAGCAGCCAUGUUCAUUCUGUUUAUGAAACCCAGUCUAAAAAAGAGAAAGGAUGGAAGAACCCUAACAAGGAAACUGUGAAAUUUAACAAUGGGCUCCAUUGGGAAAAAUAAAGACAUUUUUAAAUUUAAGACCAAAUUGAGUUCUCUCUCCUGUGCUUUUCUCUCUUGCUUUUGGCUUUUUUUUCUUUCUUCUUCACUUCCCCUCUCUAAUGAUCUCUAUUUCACUUUCCUCACUAUUUUUCUUUUCGCCCUCUGGCUCCCUCCUCUCAUGUCAAAUCUUUUACCUCCCUCAAACUUGUGCCUCAUCUGUCUCCCCCUUUCUCAGGGGAAUGGAUGUGAGGAAUGGAAAGUAAAAGAAAAGGCCAAUGGAAAAAAACAUGUAAGACAACCUAAAGAUAAAUACAAACUACUAAACUAAAAAAUAAGAACAACUCAAGAAAUAAUAACCAACAGAAGAGAAAAACAAGGCAGUGUCUUCCAUGUGGCAGAAAUAAAGGCUACUACUAAUCAA
RNA transcript from Felis catus (domestic cat), 3126 nucleotides. It is a transcript of the gene named family with sequence similarity 71 member D, with no coding region annotated. The transcript has 11 exons. The record is from RefSeq and is a predicted model, not a curated record. Lineage: Eukaryota; Metazoa; Chordata; Mammalia; Carnivora; Felidae.